AGCAGCCGCGGUAACACCAGCGCCACGAGUAGGGACCACUACUAUUGGGCCUAAAGCGUCCGUAGCCGGUUGAAUAAAUCUCUUGUGAAAUUGUUGGGCUUAACCUAACAACGUGCAGGAGAAACUGUUCAGCUUGGAACCGGGAGAAGUCAGGAGUAUGCUGGGGGGAGCGGUAAAAUGUUAUAAUCCCCGGUAGACUACCAGUGGCGAAGGCGCCUGACUAGAACGGAUUCGACGGUGAGGGACGAAAGCCAGGGGAGCGAAGCGGAUUAGAUACCCGUGUAGUCCUGGCCGUAAACGCUGCGAGCUAGGUGUUGCAUAUUCUACAUGAAUGUGCAGUAUCGAAGCGAAGGUGAUAAGCUCGCCGCCUGGGAAGUAUGGUCGCAAGGCUGAAACUUAAAGGAAUUGGCGGGGGAGCACUACAAGGGGUGCGGCGUGCGGUUUAAUCUAAUUCAACGCAGAGAAUCUCACCAGAAGCGACGGCAGGAUGAAAGUCAGGCUAAAGGUCUUACUAGACGAGCCGAGAGGUAGUGCAUGGCCGCCGUCAGCUCGUGCUGUAAAGUGUCCUGUUAAGUCAGGCAACGAGCGAGACCUGCAUCUACAAUUGCUAACGGGUUCUUUAGAAUGACUGAGCACAUUGUAGAGACUGCCCUGGAAACAGGGAGGAAGGUGCAGGCUACGGUAGGUCUGUAUGCUCCGAAUCUUCUGGGCUACACGCGCGCAACAAUGGUAAGGACAAUGGGAUGCGACUCCGAAAGGAGGAGCUAAUCCUCGAAACCUUAUCCAAGUCUAGAUUGAGGAUUGUAACUCAUCCUCAUGACAAUGGAAUCCCUAGUAAUCAGAGUUUAUCAUACUCCGGUGAACAUGUCCCUGCUCCU
This 878-nucleotide ribosomal RNA is filed under the name uncultured euryarchaeote. RNAcentral's name for it is "bacterial SSU rRNA". It matches the Rfam family "Archaeal small subunit ribosomal RNA", at positions 460 to 1337 of the family's 1478-position model. The record is from RNAcentral. Lineage: Archaea; Methanobacteriati; Methanobacteriota.